RNAcentral lists this transfer RNA (86 nucleotides) under Actinomycetota bacterium. RNAcentral's name for it is "Actinobacteria bacterium tRNA-OTHER". It matches the Rfam family "tRNA". Rfam says of the family: Transfer RNA (tRNA) molecules are approximately 80 nucleotides in length. Their secondary structure includes four short double-helical elements and three loops (D, anti-codon, and T loops). RNAcentral also lists the same sequence under 1 other name. Lineage: Bacteria; Bacillati; Actinomycetota. The record is from RNAcentral.
GGAGGGCUCGAAUAGCGGCCGAGUGAACCGGUCUUGAAAACCGGCAAACGAAAGUUUCGUGGGUUCAAAUCCCACGCCCUCCGCCA